RNAcentral lists this long non-coding RNA (1074 nucleotides) under Zonotrichia albicollis (white-throated sparrow). Its description in RNAcentral is "lncRNA (ENSZALG00000001053.1)". The record is from RNAcentral. Lineage: Eukaryota; Metazoa; Chordata; Aves; Passeriformes; Passerellidae.
CUGGCCCAGGUGUGGAGCAGGUGUUGGGUUGCUGGGCUGGAGCCCGGCCAGGAGCCUGCUCCUCCUCCCUGGUGUUCCUCCCCAGGAGCCUGCUCCUCCCUCCUCAGUGCUCUUCCCCAGAACUCCCUUCCUCCCUCAGUUUUCUUCCCCAGAAUUCCUUUUCUCACUCAGUUUUCUUCCCCAGAAUUCCCUUCCUCCCUCAGUUUUCUUCCCCAGAAUUCCCUUCCUCCCUCAGUUUUCUUCCACAGAAUUCUUUUUCUCACUCAGUUUUCUUCCCCAGAAUUCUUUUUCUCACUCAGUUUUCUUCCACAGAAUUCCCUUCCUCCCUCAGUUUUCUUCCCCAGAAUUCCUUUUCUCACUCAGUUUUCUUCCCCAGAAUUCCCUUCCUCACUCAGUUUUCUUCCAUAGAAUUCCCUUCCUCUCUCAGUUUUCUUCCCUGAAAUUCAGUUUCUCAUUCAGUUUUCCUCCCCAAAAUUCAGUUCCUCACUCGGUUUUCCUCCCCAGAAUUCCAUUCUUUGCUCAAUUUUCACCCCAGGAGCCUGUUCCUCGCUCAGUUUCCCUCCCCAUCCGUCUGGGCAGAGCUGGGCUGGGCUGGGUUUGGUUUUCCUGCUGUCCCUGACCUUUGGGAGGGCUGGGAUGUGAUUCCAGGCCCUGGGAGCUGCAGCCCGGGUUCAAUGAGAGCUGAUCCGAGGCCUUGGGUCCUGCCAGGAUUGUGGAAUGGGGGUGUCAGUGCUGAUCCAUGGCCUUGGGUCCUGCCAGGGUCAGGGAAUUGAGGUGUCAGUGCUGAUCCAUGGCCUUGGGUCCUGCCAGGGUCAGGGAAUUGGGGUGUCAGUGCUGAUCCAUGGCCUUGGGUCCUUUCAGGUCUAUGGAAUCAAGGUGUCAGUGGUGUUCCAUGUCCCCAGGUCCUUCCAGGGUCAAGGAACGGGGCUGUCAGUGCUGAUCCAUGUGCUCAGGUCCAGGUCUAUGGAAUGGGGGUGUCAGGGGUGGUUCCCAUGUCCCCAGGUCCUUCCUGGGCUGUGGAAGGACUCAAGUGCUGAUCUGUGGCCUCAGGUCCUUCCAGGUUUAUGGAAUGGG